This 468-nucleotide ribosomal RNA is filed under the name uncultured Eubacteriales bacterium. Its description in RNAcentral is "bacterial SSU rRNA". It matches the Rfam family "Bacterial small subunit ribosomal RNA", at positions 912 to 1382 of the family's 1533-position model. The record is from RNAcentral. Lineage: Bacteria; Bacillati; Bacillota; Clostridia; Eubacteriales.
GACGGGGACCCGCACAAGCAGCGGAGCAUGUGGUUUAAUUCGAAGCAACGCGAAGAACCUUACCAGGGCUUGACAUCCCUCUGACAGUCCCUUAACCGGGACCUUCUUCGGACAGAGGAGACAGGUGGUGCAUGGUUGUCGUCAGCUCGUGUCGUGAGAUGUUGGGUUAAGUCCCGCAACGAGCGCAACCCUUGUCUUUAGUUGCCAUCAUUCAGUUGGGCACUCUAGAGAGACUGCCGAGGACAACUCGGAGGAAGGUGGGGAUGACGUCAAAUCAUCAUGCCCCUUAUGUUCUGGGCUACACACGUGCUACAAUGGCCGGUACAGACGGAGGCGAAGCCGCGAGGCGGAGCAAAUCCGAAAAAGCCGGUCUCAGUUCGGAUUGCAGUCUGCAACUCGACUGCAUGAAGUUGGAAUCGCUAGUAAUCGUGGAUCAGCCAAGCCGCGGUGAAUACGUUCCCGGGCCUU